This 865-nucleotide ribosomal RNA is filed under the name Candidatus Regiella insecticola. RNAcentral's name for it is "bacterial SSU rRNA". It matches the Rfam family "Bacterial small subunit ribosomal RNA", at positions 555 to 1419 of the family's 1533-position model. Lineage: Bacteria; Pseudomonadati; Pseudomonadota; Gammaproteobacteria; Enterobacterales; Enterobacteriaceae. The record is from RNAcentral.
UGGGCGUAAAGGGCAUGUAGGCGGUAAGUUAAGUCAGAUGUGAAAUCCCCGAGCUUAACUUGGGAACGGCAUUUGAGACUGGCGGGCUAGAGUUUUGUAGAGGGGGGUAGAAUUCCAGGUGUAGCGGUGAAAUGCGUAGAGAUCUGGAGGAAUACCGGUGGCGAAGGCGGCCCCCUGGACAAGGACUGACGCUGAGGUGCGAAAGCGUGGGUAGCAAACAGGAUUAGAUACCCUGGUAGUCCACGCUGUAAACGAUGUCGAUUUGGAGGUUGUGGCCUAGUGUUAUGGCGUCCGAAGCUAACGCGAUAAAUCGACCGCCUGGGGAGUACGGCCGCAAGGUUAAAACUCAAAUGAAUUGACGGGGGCCCGCACAAGCGGUGGAGCAUGUGGUUUAAUUCGAUGCAACGCGAAGAACCUUACCUACUCUUGACAUCCACGGAAUUGAGCAGAGAUGCUUAAGUGCCUUCGGGAGCCGUGAGACAGGUGCUGCAUGGCUGUCGUCAGCUCGUGUUGUGAAAUGUUGGGUUAAGUCCCGCAACGAGCGCAACCCUUGUCCUUUGUUGCCAGCGCGUGAUGGCGGGAACUCAAAGGAGACUGCCGGUGAUAAACCGGAGGAAGGUGGGGAUGACGUCAAGUCAUCAUGGCCCUUACGAGUAGGGCUACACACGUGCUACAAUGGCGCAUACAAAGAGCGGCGAGCGUGCGAACGUAAGCGAACCUCAUAAAGUGCGUCGUAGUCCGGAUUGGAGUCUGCAACUCGACUCCAUGAAGUCGGAAUCGCUAGUAAUCGUGGAUCAGAAUGCUACGGUGAAUACGUUCCCGGGCCUUGUACACACCGCCCGUCACACCAUGGGAGUGGGCGGCA